This is a transfer RNA of 92 nucleotides. It matches the Rfam family "tRNA". From Rfam's summary of the family: Transfer RNA (tRNA) molecules are approximately 80 nucleotides in length. The record is from Rfam.
GUCCCAGUGGCCGAGUGGUUAAGGCGACACCCUGCUAUUUGCAGCUCAGGUGUUGGGUUUUACCUGCGCAGGUUCGAAUCCUGUCUGUGACG